CCUACAGCCCCAUAGGAGAAGACACAUAGAUCGGCCAUGACAACUCGGGUCAACAGCAUCAGCAAGUCCGGACUACCUUUGCUUCCAGAUGUGGGUCUCUCACGGGGAGGAAGAAGAAAAUCACGGAAACAAGUGCAGCGAUGGAUUUAGUGGCACGAAUGUACAGAAGCGGGGACACCAUCUUUUGGCUGAUCUGCGUGUUGGCUGGCCCGAAUUGAGCGACACCCUGCAUGCUAACUGAUUUAUUUAAAGAAUCAAAUCAGAUAUCCAAUGGUGGAUGUGCUUUGCUUCUGACUGCACAUAUCGCUUUAGGACAGUUGGU
Molecule: long non-coding RNA, 322 nt
Organism: Lolium rigidum
Lineage: Eukaryota; Viridiplantae; Streptophyta; Magnoliopsida; Poales; Poaceae
Exons: 3
Source: RefSeq, a predicted model, not a curated record